This 1179-nucleotide long non-coding RNA is filed under the name Junco hyemalis (dark-eyed junco). Its description in RNAcentral is "lncRNA (ENSJHYG00000013152.1)". The record is from RNAcentral. Lineage: Eukaryota; Metazoa; Chordata; Aves; Passeriformes; Passerellidae.
UCCCUUUGUCCCCAUCCCUGUGGAAGUUUGCAGGCAACCCCAACAAGGGAAGAGAUGAGAAGCUUUUCUCCAUGUUUCAAAAGGCUGAUUUAUUAUUUUAUGAUAAAUAUAUUACAUUAGAAGAUACAUAUAUUAUAAGAAAAUAAAAUAAUAUAUUGAAAUUAUACUAAAAGAAUAUAAGAAAAUGUUUCGUCAGAAGGCUAGCAAGGAAUAGCCUUUUUUUUCACCAAAAAAAUCCCGGCAAAGGGAUUUUUCAGAAAAUAUCAUGGCUACACCUUAGGAAAAAAUCCUAGCAAAGGAAUUUUCAGAAAAUAUCAUGGCUACACCUUACUAGCAAAGGAAAUUUUUAGAAAAUAUCAUGGCUACACCUUAGGAAAAAAUCCUAGCAAAGGAAUUUUCAGAAAAUAUCAUGGCUACACCUUAGGGAAAAAAUCCUGGCAAAGGGAUUUUUCAGAAAAUAUGGCUACACCUUAGGAAAAAAACCCUGGCAAAGGAAAUGUGCAGAAAAUAUCGUGGCUGCACUUUAGGACAAAAAUCCUGGAGAAUUUUCAGAAAACGUGGCCCUGCAAUGUCCCCCUCUCCCCCAGGAAUCCUUCUGGCGCAUCCCGGCCGCCCUCACCCCGCAGCAGCUCCGUCGUGCCGCCGCCUCCAUCGCCCACCGCGACCCCCCAGCAUCCCCCCAGACCCUUGCAGAGCCCCCCAGGUGCCCCCAGGAUGGGGCUGCAGAGCCGCUGGUGGCAGCGCUGGGAUCGGACUCGGAGAGUGAGGAGCCUGUCCCUGUCCCCAUCCCUGUCCCCAGCCCGGUGCUGGCGCGCACCAAGAGGCGCCGGGAGCUCGCCAGCGAGGAUGAGGAUGAGGAUGGUGGGAGCUCAGGUGGGUUUGUUAGCGUUCAGAACCACAUAAUCACGAAAAUGAUUAUGAUGGUGCAUUUUAUUAAGAGCUAUGGGAAUCAGGGGUAUUUUCCACCCAAAUCUGACUCUGCCCGUACAUUCCACAGGAUCAUGUUUUUAUAUUCUGUCGCUAUGUAACUUUCAUGUUAAUUAUUAAACUUAUAUUGUUCUAUUGUUUACGUAGAUUUCAGCCAAGCAUAGCCCCCGUUAAAUUUCCAACAUAGUUCCUCAUGAUUCUUCUUAUGAUUAUAUAAUAAUUAAAUAUAAUUGCUAAACAGUCAUCACAUCU